This 253-nucleotide ribosomal RNA is filed under the name uncultured bacterium. Its description in RNAcentral is "partial 16S ribosomal RNA". It matches the Rfam family "Bacterial small subunit ribosomal RNA", at positions 524 to 776 of the family's 1533-position model. The record is from RNAcentral.
UACAGAGGGUGCGAGCGUUAAUCGGAAUUACUGGGCGUAAAGCGCACGUAGGCGGCUUGGUAUGUCGGGUGUGAAAUCCCCGGGCUCAACCUGGGAACUGCAUCCGAAACUGCCUUGCUAGAGUAUGGGAGAGGGAAGUGGAAUUUCCGGUGUAGCGGUGAAAUGCGUAGAUAUCGGAAGGAGCAUCAGUGGCGAAGGCGACUUCCUGGACCAAUACUGACACUGAGGAGCGAAAGCCAGGGGAGCAAACGGG